CGGGUGCUCUUCCCAUCCUUGCAAUAAUGUGGAGCGACAGGAAUUCUCCUUCAUGGCUGGUGGAAAUGCAAAACGGUCCAGUCACCCUGGAAGACAGUUUUGACAGUUUCCUACAAAGCUAAACAUACUCUUAACAUAGAACACAGCCAUCGCAUUCCUUGGAAUUUACUCGAAGGGCUUGAAAACUUAUGUCCAACACAAAUCUGCACAUGGAUGUUUGUGCAGCUUUAUUAAUAACUGUCCAAACUUGGAAGAAACCAGGAUGUUCUUCAAUAGUUGAGUGGAUAAAUAAACUGGUAAUCCAGACCGUGAGAUAUGAUUUAGUACAAAAAAGAGAGGAACUAUCAAGCCAUGAAAAGACACGAAAGACUCUUAUGCAUAUUACUAAGUGAAAGAAGCCUGUCUGAAAGGCUCCAUACUGUCUGAUUCCAGCUACAUGACAUUUUGGAGAAGGCAAAACCAUAAAAGGUUAACAUAAAACAGUAAAAGGAUCAGUGGUUGGUUGCCAACAGUUGUGGGGAGGGAGGGGUGAGUAGGAGGAGCACAGAGGAUCUUUAGAGGAGAGAAGCUGUUCUGUAGGACCCGACGAUGCUAGAUACAUGUCCUUGUGCACUUUCAAAACCCGUAGCAUGUACAACACCAAAAGUGAACCCUAAUGUAAACUAUGGGCUUUGGGUGAUCCUAGUUUGCCAGGGGAGGUUCAUCAGUUAGAACAAAUGCAUCCCCCCGGGGGGUGGGUGCUGAUAGUGAGGAAAGCUGUGUUGUGUGUGUUUUCAAAUGACUUACAGUUAAUCAUUGAAAGCAAACUAAAUGGAACACUUACUAAUAGAGAAGAAUUACAUGUCAGAGCCUUUUGCAAACUGAGCUGGGACAGAAAGGGACUGAGGCUGCCCCCCUGUGUGUGGGGUGGGGGCAGGGGGUAUGCA
Non-coding RNA from Vicugna pacos (alpaca), 926 nucleotides. NCBI's taxonomy places the organism in Eukaryota, Metazoa, Chordata, Mammalia, Artiodactyla, Camelidae. The record is from RefSeq and is a predicted model, not a curated record.